CUUCAGCAAUUGGGCCAAAUAGUCGGCAAUGCUCUGUGUGCUCUGUUGCUGUUGUUGGGGCGUCAGAUGGGGCACCACCACUUGCGGGGGCUGUUGCUGCUGCUGCUGCUGCUGUUGUUGUUGCUGCUGCUGUUGUUGUUGUUGCUGUGCGACGGCAGCGGCUGCUACGGCGGCGGCAGCGGCUGCUUGUUGCUGCAAUUGCUGUUGCAGUUGCUGUUGCACAACGGCUUUGCUCUCACAAACACUCAUUA
This 251-nucleotide small RNA is filed under the name Drosophila guanche. The record is from RNAcentral. Lineage: Eukaryota; Metazoa; Arthropoda; Insecta; Diptera; Drosophilidae.